UUUGAGUUGAAUCGAUUAACUUAUCCAUCUCAAAUUGAAUUUUCAGAUUAUUUUUUUUCGAUGUUUGUAAACCUUAAAGCUUCGAUUUCAUCUCAAUUCUCUUUUCUGAUUCAUUAUCAGUUUCUGCAUCUGUUCAUCUUCUUCAUUUAUUUACUUGUUUUAUUAAUUGUGUGUAUUCUCUUUUUUUCCAGGCACAUUCAGGAACCAAAAAAAGUAAAAAGCUCCACCACCAUCUUCAAAGCCAGCGAAAUCUAGUGGUGAAAAUAGAGCAAAGGAAAGCAAAAGGAGAAGGUUAACAACAUGUUCAUGUUUGAUAAAGCUGGGAUUAAAUCUGGGAUUUUGCUUUGGUGACAUAUUCAUUAGUUUUUAGUUUGUUUUCUGAAGGGUAGAGGUUGGAGAAAACAAGCUUGUAAUGAAGAUGGUCGAUCUCUGACAUCAAUAUGGCAGAGGAUGCAUUGGCAUUAAUGGAUUGUUUAGAUUGACCACAAGCUCAUACCAUGGGGUCCAUGAUAGCGUACAAAUUUUCUGCGAUGGUACUACCUUAAAGAUUGGCAGCCAAAUGCUAUGCAUUGCACUAUGUUAUUUUUAAGCGGAUACUCCUGAACAAAGGGAAGCCAUUUAUUUGGACAGUCACUAUAUGGAAGAAUGUUACAUGGGCUAAGCAUGAAAGGGGAAGUGGAUUGGUUAUGUGGUAUUUUGUUUGUAUGAUUGUGUUCUCUACACUAGUUUCAAUGGUAGGGUUUAUGUUUUGAAAUAUGAAUUGUGAAUUGAUUUUUAAAUGCCUGUAAGUGUAUGCUUAAGAGAUGAAUAUCUGUAGAUCUGGAAGUGUUUUUAUAUUUCAAGAUCGUGGAAGCAAUAAUUUGUGUAUUUGGCUAUUCGAUUUUGAUGUUGGAUGAUUUUAACAUAAGCCAUAGAUUUUUUUUUCUGGAAUGGGUAUUCAUCUGUGUUAUUAUGAUGUUAGGAUUCUAUGAUUAUUUAUGUGGCUAUAA
Papaver somniferum (opium poppy) is the source of this 989-nucleotide long non-coding RNA. RefSeq lists it as uncharacterized. NCBI's taxonomy places the organism in Eukaryota, Viridiplantae, Streptophyta, Magnoliopsida, Ranunculales, Papaveraceae. The record is from RefSeq and is a predicted model, not a curated record. The transcript has 7 exons.